This 497-nucleotide ribosomal RNA is filed under the name uncultured bacterium. Its description in RNAcentral is "partial 16S ribosomal RNA". It matches the Rfam family "Bacterial small subunit ribosomal RNA", at positions 28 to 507 of the family's 1533-position model. The record is from RNAcentral.
GAUGAACGCUGGCGGCGUGCCUAAUACAUGCAAGUAGAACGCUGAAGGAAGGAGCUUGCUCUUUCCGGAUGAGUUGCGAACGGGUGAGUAACGCGUAGGUAACCUGCCUGGUAGCGGGGGAUAACUAUUGGAAACGAUAGCUAAUACCGCAUAACAGUAGAUGUUGCAUGAUAUCUACUUAAAAGGUGCAAUUGCACCACUACCAGAUGGACCUGCGUUGUAUUAGCUAGUUGGUGAGGUAACGGCUCACCAAGGCGACGAUACAUAGCCGACCUGAGAGGGUGAUCGGCCACACUGGGACUGGGACACGGCCCAGACUCCUACGGGAGGCAGCAGUAGGGAAUCUUCGGCAAUGGACGGAAGUCUGACCGAGCAACGCCGCGUGAGUGAAGAAGGUUUUCGGAUCGUAAAGCUCGGUUGUAAGAGAAGAACGAGUGUGAGAGUGGAAAGUUCACACUGUGACGGUAUCUUACCAGAAAGGGACGGCUAACUACGUG